GGGGGUGUAAUGGUUUCGACAGGGAUGUGGAAGCCGGAUAAGCGAGCCGUAGACUGUACUAGCUACGUAAAAAUGUACACGUUAAAUACAAACGCUAAAAAUAACAAUAAUUUCGCACUAGCUGCCUAAUUUGCAG
Molecule: transfer-messenger RNA, 136 nt
Filed under: Acinetobacter baumannii
Lineage: Bacteria; Pseudomonadati; Pseudomonadota; Gammaproteobacteria; Moraxellales; Moraxellaceae
Description: partial transfer-messenger RNA
Rfam family: transfer-messenger RNA
About the family: Bacterial tmRNA, also known as 10Sa RNA or SsrA, is named for its dual tRNA and mRNA-like properties. Its role is to liberate the mRNA from a stalled ribosome.
Source: RNAcentral